Molecule: long non-coding RNA, 438 nt
Filed under: Homo sapiens (human)
Lineage: Eukaryota; Metazoa; Chordata; Mammalia; Primates; Hominidae
Description: HSALNT0178116
Source: RNAcentral
GGAAUACAGUAAGUGUCCCAUAUACAUUAGGAAUCUUAUUCAUCCUCCUGCCCACCCUAUCUCUCAACUCAGGUUUUAGGGUCCUUUGGGGAUAGGACAAGAGUCCUUUCUGAUGUCAACAUCCAUUAGCAUUAGACUCUGGCAUUUAUUGCUGCACAUGUCACUUGCACACAUGUCAGAAGUAUCCAGGGGCAACGGGUUCCCUUAAUUUCCCUCACUUAUUCCAUUGUUGGCUGGGCAGGAGUCCAAAGCCCUGGGUUCAGGCCCCAGCUCUGUGACUGACUUGCUGUGUGACCUUUCCCUUCUAGGCUUCAGCUUCCCCACCUGUCCAGGGGGAGGCCAGUGACUGAUUUUAGAACCCUUUAAGCAUUGAAGUUCUCUGAUCCUUAAAUCACUCAAGUUUAAUGGGGAAAAAGCACCUCCAUUGUAAUUCCUGAG